Molecule: ribosomal RNA, 417 nt
Filed under: uncultured eukaryote
Lineage: Eukaryota
Description: SSU rRNA
Rfam family: Eukaryotic small subunit ribosomal RNA
Source: RNAcentral
CAAUAGCGUAUAUUAAAGUUGUUGCGGUUAAAAAGCUCGUAGUUGGAUUUCUGCUGAGGACGACCGGUCCGCCCUCUGGGUGAGUAUCUGGCUCGGCCUUGGCAUCUUCUUGGAGAACGUAACUGCACUUGACUGUGUGGUACGGUAUCCAGGACUUUUACUUUGAGGAAAUUAGAGUGUUUCAAGCAGGCGCACGCCUUGAAUACAUUAGCAUGGAAUAAUAAGAUAGGACCUUGGUUCUAUUUUGUUGGUUUCUAGAGCUGAGGUAAUGAUUAAGAGGAACAGUUGGGGGGCAUUCGUAUUUCAUUGUCAGAGGUGAAAUUCUUGGAUUUAUGAAAGACGAACUUCUGCGAAAGCAUUUGCCAAGGAUGUUUUCAUUAAUCAAGAACGAAAGUUGGGGCUCGAAGAUGAUUAGAU